GACGGAGGAGGCUAGCGUUGUUCAAAAUCACUGGGCUUAAAGAGCGUGUAGGCGGACCGGUAAGUACUGUGUGAAAGCCCCCGGCUCAACCGGGGAAUUGCUCGGUAAACUAUCGGUCUUGAGGCAGGUAGGGGCGAGUGGAACUCUAGGUGGAGCGGUGAAAUGCGUAGAGAUCUAGAGGAACGCCGGUGGCGAAAGCGGCUCGCUGGGCCUGUCCUGACGCUGAGACGCGAAAGCGUAGGGAGCGAACGGGAUUAGAUACCCCCGUA
This 269-nucleotide ribosomal RNA is filed under the name uncultured prokaryote. RNAcentral describes it as "partial 16S ribosomal RNA". It matches the Rfam family "Bacterial small subunit ribosomal RNA", at positions 524 to 792 of the family's 1533-position model. The record is from RNAcentral.